AGAGUGCAGCCAACUAUUUCAAUUGCCUAUAUAUAUAUAUAUAUAUAGGCAAUUGAAAUAGUUGGCUGCACACU
Molecule: non-coding RNA, 74 nt
Organism: Pelobates cultripes (western spadefoot toad)
Lineage: Eukaryota; Metazoa; Chordata; Amphibia; Anura; Pelobatidae
Source: the annotation of a GenBank genome assembly